AAGUUUUGAGUUUUCUUUUAGGCUUUAUAGGCUUUGGGGUAUGUUUGGCCACACCCCUUUUCUUAAUUACCCCUUUAACGCUAACCAAAGUACAAAAUGCAACAUUUUUUUGAUAAUUAUUGAUCUAGAGAGUCCACAGAUUAUUACUGCAGUGGUUUGGUUUCGAUGGGACAAAAAACCUAGGACUAGUUCGCAAAAGUAGGUUUUUAACAUAUUUGUGAAUAACAAUUGAACGAUUUGAUUGACAGCAAUGGUUCUUGAGGCAAAGUUGUGCAUUACGAGGAGAUCUAUCAAAUGAUAUGCAUAUUGUGUUGAUAUGUGAAACACCACGUGAUUACAGAGCCAUAAAACUCGUUAGCGCCAACUAGUGGCCGAUUUCUUUCAAAAUUCUUACAGACCUUAAGGUUCAUGAGUCGAACGUACCCAGCGAGUUUCGUUCCGAUCAACAUCCGUUAACCCUUUCAAAUAGGUGCUUAAAAUUGUUUGGCCAAUGACGGCCAUGUUUUUUGAGAUAUGCAAAUGUCCUCAUAAGUACUUGUGCCCCUUCAGACCAAGACAGUGCAUACCGAUUUUCAAGUUGAUCGAGCCAACGGUUGCCUAGUUAUAGCAAUUUAUGUGUUUUUUCUAUCUUAUAGCGCCCCCAAGUGGCAGAGAUGCGCAAUUUUUUUGAUUUGACCAAAGAUUGAGCUCAUACAUAUGUGUACCGAGUUUGGUGAAGAUAUCUCAUUCCGUUCAAGAGUUAUAGUCAAAAUAGUAUUUGAUUAACGUUAGCAUAGACGCUUUUUGGCGUACUGUUUCGCGUAAGAAUUGAAAUUUCAACUUUUUUUUAAUAAUUAUUGAUAUUGAGUGUCCAGGGAAUAUUUAUGAAGUGGUUUGGUUCUUAUUGGUUGAAAAUCCUAGGACUAGUUCGCAAAAGUAGGUUUCGGAUAUAGCUCGAUUUUGCGAGAAAACGGUGCGUCGUAGACCCCAAAAAGGCGCCGUGCACUUUUGUUCGGGCUAACCCAAGGAUUGCAACAAUGCCAUGUUUUUGAGUCUACGGCUAACGGUUUACGAUUUACGGCCAAAAAUGUCAAAAAUUUUAGUUUUUUGCGCUGUAGCGCCCC
Long non-coding RNA from Carassius gibelio (silver crucian carp), 1103 nucleotides. RefSeq lists it as uncharacterized. The record is from RefSeq and is a predicted model, not a curated record. The transcript has 3 exons. NCBI's taxonomy places the organism in Eukaryota, Metazoa, Chordata, Actinopteri, Cypriniformes, Cyprinidae.